CUGGCUCAGAAUCAACGCUGGCGGCGUGCCUCAGACAUGCAAGUCGAACGAUUAAAGCUCUCUUCGGAGAGUGUAUAGAGUGGCGCACGGGUGAGUAACACGUAAGUAAUCUACCCUCGAGUGGGGAAUGACAACCGGAAACGGUUGCUAAUACCGCAUAAUGCAGCGGCACCGCAAGGUGACAGUUGUUAAAGAUUUAUCGCUUGAGGAGGAGCUUGCGGCAGAUUAGCUAGUUGGUAGGGUAACGGCUUACCAAGGCUACGAUCUGUAACCGGUCUAAGAGGACGGUCGGUCACACUGACACUGAAUAACGGGUCAGACUCCUACGGGAGGCAGCAGUCGGGAAUUUUGGGCAAUGGGCGAAAGCCUGACCCAGCAACGCCGCGUGAAGGAUGAAGUAUUUCGGUAUGUAAACUUCGAAAGAAUAGGAAGAAUUAAUGACGGUACUAUUUAUAAGGUCCGGCUAACUACGUG
RNAcentral lists this ribosomal RNA (474 nucleotides) under uncultured bacterium. RNAcentral describes it as "bacterial SSU rRNA". It matches the Rfam family "Bacterial small subunit ribosomal RNA", at positions 19 to 507 of the family's 1533-position model. The record is from RNAcentral.